This is a long non-coding RNA of Nannospalax galili (Upper Galilee mountains blind mole rat), 3338 nucleotides long. RefSeq lists it as uncharacterized. NCBI's taxonomy places the organism in Eukaryota, Metazoa, Chordata, Mammalia, Rodentia, Spalacidae. The record is from RefSeq and is a predicted model, not a curated record. The transcript is spliced from 3 exons.
GAAGUCCCUGUCACAUCCCUCAGCAGGGCAGAGAAAACAAAAAAGCUUCCCUCCGUCUCUCUCCCUCUCAGGGCUGCCCCCAAGAACAGCUAAGCUUGGGUUGUCUCUUAGAUUGUGCUUCUGUGCUCCAUCCCAAGAUGGAAUACACAGCCUGAGCACCUAGAAGUUUUCCAAUUGCAGACUCACAGCAGCCCCCAAAGCUCCACCCUUCGUGUUAGGCUCUUGUGGUCCUGGAGAAUUCCUGCUGCCAGUCCAAGCCCAGGCUGAGGCUCAGAUCCCCUUUCCUGUGACCUUCCUCUUCACCUCCAGGCAAACCUCUCUAUGCCCCUCCCUUCACACAUGGCUUAUUUUGAGGCCCCCAGAGGCUGUAAGAAGUGGGCUCCCUCUACAAGGUACCUCAGUUCCUCUGAAGAAAGGAAGCAAGCACACACGGAUGGCAAGGGUGGCGUUUUCAAGGGCGGUGAUGAAUGGAAAUUUCCCGACAUUUCAAGCAACAGCGUCUGAACGGAACUGGAAUUUUCCUAAAGCACAGACAGGAGAUCUCUGUCACAAGUUAUUGAUCUGGUGUGCACGCCUUGCAUUUAAUCCGGUGAUUAAUUUGGAGGGAGGCCGCAUGCAUGCUGGGCUUUCAUUUAGAGAGUUUAAAAGCAGGCAGCUUCUGAUUUAUUUUGUCUUUAUUCACGGAGGGCGAUUGGAUUGGAAGGAGUUGAAUGAUAGGCUUCCGGCAGGCUGUAAAGACAGGUAAAAUUUAAAUAAGAAAUAUCAGAUCUUUUAAGGCACUCUAUUUAUCUUUUGUACUUUAUUAGUCACACCUAUUGAAGGCUUGUUGGCCCUCUGGGAACAGUUCAGAAAAGGAAACUAUUCAGCAUGUUAAGUUUGCCAAUCUGCCUGCUUUUUAUUAUCUUCUUUUAGAGGGAGUAAACAAAGGUCCCCAUAUAGGAAGGGACUCGCCUAAUCAAAGUAUAAGUUAGCACUGAAAUUAAUUCAUUAUUUUAGGACCACCAAUACCACAGGUGUGGGUAGAGUUCCAAAUAUGUUCCAAGUAUUUUAAUAGCAACUUGGCAACUAAUGUAAGCCUUCCCACACUCAUCUCUGAUAGAUGACUUCCUCUUGCCUUAAGAAUAAACAUUAGGAGCUAGCCUUCACUAACCUAGCAAAUCCUACCUUUUGUUAUUUCCCCCUUGAACUUACCUCCAUUCUUCUGGAACAACUUUAUCUUUCCUGAAAUAGGAUCUAUGUGUCUCUUACUCCUGUACUGACACAGAUUCUGACUACCUGCCUAGAAGCUUCCUGGGAAGUAGGAACCAGAACCUCAGUUUAUAGUUCAUUUACUUGAGAGGCUUGCUUCUUUGGGUUAAUGCCCAUUGCAGCAUAGUCUCUGACCCAUAGAAUUUCAGUUUCUCGAAUGCAGCUUCCCUAUCACUGGCCUGAGAUUCUCUUUAAACUUUGGAAUAGAAAUGACUCUGCUUGUUUCAGAAAGUUGCCAUAGUUCUCUUCAAAAAAGUUUCCCUCCCUCCUCAAACUAAGAGUCUCCAUUUUAAUGCCUUAGUGGGCUGGGAAUCUUCAUGUAGUAGUGUAUGGAUCUAGGAAACCAAAGUGACUACAUGGACACUCCAGAGACAACGUGUACAAGAAUAGCAUCUUGGCUCUUCUUAAAGUCCUGCAGGCUUGGCUGAGAACAGUAUCUUAGGGUUCAUAUUGUGUUGUAUAUCAAAUAAGCCCAGACUGUUAACAACAGAAAAAACUGUUCCCGGUGUAAGUAUACUUUAUUCCUGUCUGAGUGAGUUGCUAUGUCAAGCCUUGAAGAGGAAAAAGCUCUUCACUGGACUUUCUUGGCCUUUAGACUACAGUAGCAAGGCAGCAGAAUUACAGCCACAGAGAAAAAGAGCAUCUGUAAAGAACUUGAGGCCAGCUACACAUCUUGAAGUCCCUUGGAGGACAAGGCCACACCGUUGACACAUGGCCACAAGCCUGGUCUUCAGGGUCUUACACCUGGGGCUGUGUUUGGCUCUGCAUUCUUCUGGACCAUUGAGAGCUGAGCAGGAACAUGUCUCCCCAUAUGAAUGCUGUGAAGAUAGUAUGGAAUGAAUUGUGUUGACAUGACUGGAAGUUAAUAGAAUGACUGGCCAAACCAGUCAUCAAACACUGUUUAGUAACUAUGAGAACCAGGAUUGUCCUCAGCAUGGUCAAGUGGCCAUGCCUCUCCAGUGCUUAUAGGAUGGGUACAAACCCUGUAGGGAAUGUGGCCUCAGAACUAUGGGCUAAGCUCUGUAAACACAGGAACUGGUGAAUCUUGUUUUUGUUGUACCUCCAGAUGAUCCCCUGCGUACAGUGGAAAUGGAAUAAAUGCUUUCUGGUUAGAUAAAAUUGCAAGAAAGACAGGCAUAAUAUGCAGGAUGUUUGGAUGCUAGGAUUGUUAAGAGGCUUAAAACUACAUUGUACAAGGAACAUUGUGGGGAAUAAGGCUCCAUUAUUAGACGGGGAGGACUGGGGCACAGAGGGCUUCUGAAAGGUGGUUUUAUCAGCAAAGCAGAACCGAGGCUGAGAGAGAUAAUUAAGCAACAGAUUCACCAUUAAGUAGGUGGGGUUGGUGGAUAUACAGAUCAACAUAUUUUUAUUAAAGGAAAAAUGAAAUGUAUAACAAUUAUCCUAUUCAAUUGUGGGACCAGGUAAAGCAAACUCCAAGUCCACAGGGCAGGUAACCAGGAAGGGAGAACUCACAGGGAAGUCCAGCUGUUCUUAUUCAAAGCAAACUGGUCAAAGAUGUUAGAUCUGCAAAUCCUCUUCACUGAAGCACUUAGUGUGGGAUGGAAUCAUUAGAGAGGGUCUUUGCAUGUUCCAAGGUGGUCCAGUCUUCUACCCAGCCUACACUUCCUAUGAAACAGUCUCUGUUGUGGUUCACUCCAACCACAAGAGGGGAACAGGUGUGCCUCAAUAUGGACAAGUUGACAUGUCUCCAAACCAUCACAGUAGUCAUAAGGAAAGGUUCAGAUGCUCCAAAGGCAGAGCCCCUAUAACGUGUGGGAAUUCUGAGGAGAUCUGGACCCAACCAAAGAAAAAGCUUCAUAAUAGGCAUGAAUGAAUGGUAGAAGAGAGUCUAAGCAGAAGACAAGUCCCUGCUGCUUGCAGGAUGAACUGGAGAGAGACCUGUAAAGAUGCUUCCCUUUCUUGGGAUUCUAUGAUCCCACCAGUCAAGGGUGCUGGUGCUGAUGCUACAACCUACACCAGAGCCUCACUCACACAAUUAACUUUUGCUAUAGCCUGCUGUACAUCGAGAGCAGUCCUUGAAACUAAAUGAUGUUCGACUUGCUUCAAUUUUAAAAUCUAAUAAAUCUUUU